This 465-nucleotide ribosomal RNA is filed under the name uncultured bacterium. RNAcentral describes it as "partial 16S ribosomal RNA". It matches the Rfam family "Bacterial small subunit ribosomal RNA", at positions 28 to 507 of the family's 1533-position model. The record is from RNAcentral.
GACGAACGCUGGCGGCGUGCUUAACACAUGCAAGUCGAACGGAAAGGCCCUGCUUGCCGGGUACUCGAGUGGCGAACGGGUGAGUAACACGUGGGUGAUCUGCCCUGCACUUCGGGAUAAGCCUGGGAAACUGGGUCUAAUACCGGAUAGGAGCCAUUUUUAGUGUGAUUGUUGGAAAGUUUUUUCGGUGUAGGAUGAGCUCGCGGCCUAUCAGCUUGUUGGUGGGGUAAUGGCCUACCAAGGCGGCGACGGGUAGCCGGCCUGAGGGGGUGGACGGCCACAUUGGGGCUUGGGUAAGGCCCAGGCGCCCACGGGAGGCAGCAGGGGGGAAUAUUGCACAAUGGGCGCAAGCCUGAUGCAGCGACGCCGCGUGGGGGAUGACGGCCUUCGGGUUGUAAACUCCUUUCGCUAGGGACGAAGCUUUUUGUGACGGUACCUAGAUAAGAAGCACCGGCUAACUACGUG